Molecule: ribosomal RNA, 1266 nt
Filed under: Triticum aestivum (bread wheat)
Lineage: Eukaryota; Viridiplantae; Streptophyta; Magnoliopsida; Poales; Poaceae
Description: partial small subunit ribosomal RNA
Source: RNAcentral
CAAAAUCCUAGCCCCACCAUGCCGCCAGGCCCGAGUUGGGCAGACCUGCUACCGGAGCUUGUCUGCCGCAUCGCCGACGGCCUUGACGACCUCAAGUGCUACGCGAGUGCGCGGGGCGCUUGCAGGACAUGGCGUCACACGCUCGUGCUACCAUCACCGUCGCUGCUCGUUGACCACGGCGACGAUCCUUCCAAGCGUUGCACCACCGCUGCCAUCAAGCGUCGUACCACCGCGGCCUCAAUCCCCACGCGUCGCUCCUUCGAGCUCAACGCCAUCCCUUCAGGCAAGACCUGUCUCGGCUGUUGUAGCGGAUGGCUCGCCCUAUCCGUCCGCAUCGACGAUGUUCAUAGCCUGCUCAGCCUCUUCCACCCCAUCACGGCCGCCGAGAUCCUCCUACCCCCGCUUGUCUACGACAGCCGCCUCGUCUCCAAGAUUGUCUUCGCGCCCAACCCUGCCACUAAUGACUUCAUGGCCGUUGUGAUCUAUGACAUCGAUAGGGUUUCCUACGUUACCGCAGGGGCCAGGAGGUGGGCCGUCCUCGACCCCAUUCGCCUCGCCGUUGGAGACCAGCUCGCCGACCUCCUCUACCAUGGAAAUGGUAGGGUCUACUGCCUCACUCGGUUUGGAGAUGUCCAUGUGCUCCUCCUACCGCAGCGCUGCCGCCGGGAACCUAUCAUCCUCGAGGGGCCCACAUCAACAUAUCCUGCGGUGCAUAAUAGGCAAAUCAUCGAGAUGCAUGGGAUAGGACCGGAUCUAAAUGCGCCGGCCACCAUUGAGACGUUGUUCUCGUCUGUGAGAAGCAACCUAUCAUUCGAUGACGACGCCGGUUUCGCCCCGCCAUACAACACAAUCUCGGCUUUCACUAGUGUCAAGAACCUGGUGUUCUGUGAUGGUAACCUGUACCAAAUCUGGAGGAAUGCGUCCUGCAUUGUUACUUUGCAGCUGCCAGAAGGGGGUCGAUGCCGUGUAGCGCAUGAUGAGAUAUUUGUUCUGAGGUAUGACCCCCAGCGCCAACCAUGUUGGGACGUUGUGGCCGACUUAGGGGGAUAUUCAGUGUUUAUUGGGAGGAACAAUUCAGUGUCGAUAUAUGCGGAAGGCAUGCCGGGACUUAAGGGUGAUUGUGUGUACUGGAUUGGUGGGAGAGGUAGGGAUCAGGGCAUGGUCUUUGACAUGAAGACUGGCAGCUCAACACCUUGCAUUCCCCUCGUGGAUGGUGUUCUUCUGGGGUCUCCACAAAGCACAAUAUGCUGGUACUUUCUAAGCGAC